CGCCAAAAAGCCGCCGUGGGAACUUUACGCCUUCCAUGGAGACGUUCGCGUGGUCUCAAGCCCCGACGUCAAACUGUUGGUCGUAAAACCCAGCAUAACCUAAUCCUAAGGUCAAAAUGUUGCUCCUCGCACCCUACGCCUCAACGCGUACAAUGGUCAGAGUCUCACUACUCCCUCAACCUCCCCAGCACGCCGCACACUAGCUUUCGGGCCCUGUGCAAUCUAAGCCGCUCUGCUGCCACUCACGGCUGUAGGCAAUUUGCUUAUAGGCUUUAUUUGCUAUCUUUUCGUAUUCGUACGUUAGACCUUACAGCAAGUUCUAUCGGCAUCCAAGGAGCUGACGUGGACCUAGAUGGCUACGUUGAAGCCGCGGGAAAUCUCGAGGCGCAAGGCAAGACAUAA
RNAcentral lists this long non-coding RNA (402 nucleotides) under Oryza sativa Indica Group (long-grained rice). RNAcentral describes it as "lncRNA OsMH63_07G012730". Lineage: Eukaryota; Viridiplantae; Streptophyta; Magnoliopsida; Poales; Poaceae. The record is from RNAcentral.